Molecule: non-coding RNA, 73 nt
Organism: Albula goreensis
Lineage: Eukaryota; Metazoa; Chordata; Actinopteri; Albuliformes; Albulidae
Source: the annotation of a GenBank genome assembly
UGUUUUGUAGUAUAAUGGUUAAGGAGCUGGUCUUCCAGCCCAGGGGUGGUGGGUUCGAUUCCCAGAAGGGUAC